Molecule: non-coding RNA, 74 nt
Organism: Schistocerca cancellata (South American locust)
Lineage: Eukaryota; Metazoa; Arthropoda; Insecta; Orthoptera; Acrididae
Source: the annotation of a RefSeq genome assembly
GUCCAGGUGGCACAGUGGUUAAUGCAACUGCCUGAUAAGCAGGAGAUCCUGGGUUCGAAUCUCAGUCUGGCACA